CCAAUAGCGUAUAUUAAAGUUGUUGCAGUUAAAAAGCUCGUAGUUGAAUUUCGGGAUCAAUUUGUUGGUCGUGCCUCGGUACGUACUGGUAUUAUUGGUUUCUACCUUCGGAAGAACCUUGAUGUCAUUAAUUUGGUGUCUUGGGGAAUCAGGACUGUUACUGUGAAAAAAUUAGAGUGUUUAAAGCAAGCAUACGCUUGAAUACAUUAGCAUGGAAUAAUGAAAUAGGACGUUUGAUUCUAUUUUGUUGGUUUCUAGGAUCGACGUAAUGAUUAAUAGGGAUAGUUGGGGGCAUUAGUAUUCAAUUGUCAGAGGUGAAAUUCUUGGAUUUAUUGAAGACUAACUACUGCGAAAGCAUUUGCCAAGGAUGUUUUCAUUAAUCAAGAACGAAAGUUAGGGGAUCGAAGACGAUCAGAUACCGUCGUAGUCUUAACCAUAAACUAUGCCGACUAGGGAUCGGAUGAUGUUAAUUUUUUAAUGACUCAUUCGGCGCCUUACG
Molecule: ribosomal RNA, 499 nt
Filed under: uncultured Glomeromycotina
Lineage: Eukaryota; Fungi; Glomeromycota
Description: partial small subunit ribosomal RNA
Rfam family: Eukaryotic small subunit ribosomal RNA
Source: RNAcentral